Molecule: long non-coding RNA, 418 nt
Filed under: Helianthus annuus (common sunflower)
Lineage: Eukaryota; Viridiplantae; Streptophyta; Magnoliopsida; Asterales; Asteraceae
Description: sRNA HanXRQr2_Chr17g0813731
Source: RNAcentral
AUCCAGCAUGAUCAAUGAGUUCAGGCUCGGGCAUUUUUAGAGCAUCCGGCAUCCAUUUCAAGAACCGUAUAUAUGAUCGAUAAUCCAAAUUGAUAAACUUAUUUACAAAUGCACCAGAUGUUGCAGGACUUGCCCUUAAACCCCUAAGAUACCAUUUCGGGAAAUAUACUCUGUCAUUAAAAGGUUGAAGUCUUAAAAUAGCAAAAGCUAGCAAGAAAAUGAAAGCUGUGAUGAUAUUAAGGGCUGCGGCAAGCCCGAUAUCGGACAGUGUAGCCAUCUGCCUUCAGAUCUUCCUAUGGAUGAACAAAAUGUAACUCAAAAAUGAAGUUUGAUGGAUGAAGAAAAAGAAGAAUAUUGUGAGCAGGGAAACGGCAUGAAUGCGUGUUUAAAGCAAGCAAAAUAAAUGAAAAUUGGUUAU